Molecule: ribosomal RNA, 338 nt
Filed under: Staphylococcus argenteus
Lineage: Bacteria; Bacillati; Bacillota; Bacilli; Caryophanales; Staphylococcaceae
Description: partial 23S ribosomal RNA
Rfam family: Bacterial large subunit ribosomal RNA
Source: RNAcentral
CCAAGGGUUGGGCUGUUCGCCCAUUAAAGCGGUACGCGAGCUGGGUUCAGAACGUCGUGAGACAGUUCGGUCCCUAUCCGUCGUGGGCGUAGGAAAUUUGAGAGGAGCUGUCCUUAGUACGAGAGGACCGGGAUGGACAUACCUCUGGUGUACCAGUUGUCGUGCCAACGGCAUAGCUGGGUAGCUAUGUGUGGACGGGAUAAGUGCUGAAAGCAUCUAAGCAUGAAGCCCCCCUCAAGAUGAGAUUUCCCAACUUCGGUUAUAAGAUCCCUCAAAGAUGAUGAGGUUAAUAGGUUCGAGGUGGAAGCAUGGUGACAUGUGGAGCUGACGAAUACUAA